Molecule: long non-coding RNA, 807 nt
Organism: Daphnia magna
Lineage: Eukaryota; Metazoa; Arthropoda; Branchiopoda; Diplostraca; Daphniidae
Exons: 3
Source: RefSeq, a predicted model, not a curated record
AAAUCACCGUUCCUGAAUGGAAUGCUAAAAGCCUGGAAUUUUCUGCCGCUAGGUGGCAGAUGGAUAGCUCAUUCAGUUGUAUCUAAUUUUCAACCAACAUGGUCUCCACGUACGUACGGAGAGGUCCGUACCAGAAAACGGCACCAUUUCCAGGGUUUUUAUUGGCUCAGUGGGAUGGUCACGUGACCAUCCUUUCAAGCCACGCAGUGGUGGAUAGGCCCCGAAAUUUCAGCAGCCGCCGUCGCAUUUGAAUCGGCAAUUGUUUUUUUUUCCUCGUUUGUUGUCAUUUUCGUUUUUAAUGGCGGCCUGCUGUCAUUUAAAAUGAAUAAAUAUAUUACUUUUAGAAAAGGGCCGACCUCUCGUGAAGAGAACGAUGGAAUUUAUAGAUUCGGCUGGGAAACUUGUCGAGAAAGCUUUUUUGCUUUUUUAGAUAAACUGACACGAGAGUUUGGUACCUUCUCAAACAGGCAUAAUUUCAAUCUAAUUAAUUGUAUCUGAGAUUUUUUUACCAGAUUUUUUUACUAACAGGGAGCCCUCACUUUUUGCCGUAGCAAAACUGUUGGCAACUGGUCUUGUAAAUCUGAACAGGGUAGAAGUUCUUUAGCAUCCUGUAACAAAUCACCUGCUGGAAGUCAUCAUCCACACCCAUACUGCCCUCUUCGCUUUAUUGUUUUCGAUGAGUGACAAAACAGAGAAAAAAGAAUCCGAACACGGAUUUCAUCAACGAUGCAAUUUCUGAUAAAUCUUUUUCACGACGUGGUCCGGCUAGCGACGUGCACGGGACCUAUUUAGUUCGUAUAAUGUAAU